GAUGAAGAACGUAGUGAAAUGCGAUAAGUAAUGUGAAUUGCAGAAUUCAGUGAAUCAUCGAAUCUUUGAACGCACAUUGCGCCCGCCAGUAUUCUGGCGGGCAUGCCUGUUCGAGCGUCAUUUCAACCAUCAAGCCCCAGGCUUGUGUUGGGAACCUGCGGCUGCCGCAGGCCCUGAAAACCAGUGGCGGGCUCGCUGUCACACCGGGCGUAGUAGAUUUUAUCUCGCUCAGGGCGUGCUGCGGGUUCCGGCCGUUAAAAAGCCUUUUUUACCCAAGGUUGACCUCGGAUCAGGUAGGAAGACCCGCUGAACUUAAGCAUAUCAAUAAGCGGAGGA
This 336-nucleotide unclassified non-coding RNA is filed under the name soil metagenome. RNAcentral describes it as "partial contains 5.8S ribosomal RNA, internal transcribed spacer 2, and large subunit ribosomal RNA". The stretch from base 1 to 120 matches the Rfam family "5.8S ribosomal RNA", at positions 35 to 154 of the family's 154-position model. The record is from RNAcentral.